CGAUGAGUGCUAAGUGUUAGGGGGUUUCCGCCCCUUAGUGCUGCAGCUAACGCAUUAAGCACUCCGCCUGGGGAGUACGACCGCAAGGUUGAAACUCAAAGGAAUUGACGGGGGCCCGCACAAGCGGUGGAGCAUGUGGUUUAAUUCGAAGCAACGCGAAGAACCUUACCAGGUCUUGACAUCCUUUGACCACUCUGGAGACAGAGCUUUCCCUUCGGGGACAAAGUGACAGGUGGUGCAUGGUUGUCGUCAGCUCGUGUCGUGAGAUGUUGGGUUAAGUCCCGCAACGAGCGCAACCCUUGAUUUUAGUUGCCAGCAUUUAGUUGGGCACUCUAAAGUGACUGCCGGUGCAAGCCGGAGGAAGGUGGGGAUGACGUCAAAUCAUCAUGCCC
This 392-nucleotide ribosomal RNA is filed under the name Listeria monocytogenes. RNAcentral's name for it is "bacterial SSU rRNA". It matches the Rfam family "Bacterial small subunit ribosomal RNA", at positions 807 to 1200 of the family's 1533-position model. Lineage: Bacteria; Bacillati; Bacillota; Bacilli; Caryophanales; Listeriaceae. The record is from RNAcentral.